GGAAUAUUGGACAAUGGCCGGAAGGCUGAUCCAGCCAUGCCGCGUGCGGGAAGACGGCCCUAUGGGUUGUAAACCGCUUUUGCGGGGGAGCAAUAAGGUCCACGCGUGGGCCGAUGAGAGUACCCUGCGAAUAAGCAUCGGCUAACUCCGUGCCAGCAGCCGCGGUAAUACGGAGGAUGCGAGCGUUAUCCGGAUUUAUUGGGUUUAAAGGGUGCGCAGGCGGCUUGUUAAGCGGGAGGUGAAAUGCCGGCGCUCAACGUCGGAAGUGCCUCCCGAACUGGUGAGCUUGAAUGACUCUGCCGUGGGAGGAAUGUGUAGUGUAGCGGUGAAAUGCUUAGAGAUUACACAGAACACCGAUUGCGAAGGCAUCUCACGAAGGGUUGAUUGACGCUGAGGCACGAAAGCGUGGGGAUAAAACA
This 419-nucleotide ribosomal RNA is filed under the name uncultured bacterium. RNAcentral's name for it is "bacterial SSU rRNA". It matches the Rfam family "Bacterial small subunit ribosomal RNA", at positions 358 to 774 of the family's 1533-position model. The record is from RNAcentral.